RNAcentral lists this ribosomal RNA (467 nucleotides) under uncultured bacterium. RNAcentral describes it as "partial 16S ribosomal RNA". It matches the Rfam family "Bacterial small subunit ribosomal RNA", at positions 28 to 507 of the family's 1533-position model. The record is from RNAcentral.
GAUGAACGCUGGCGGCGCGCCUAACACAUGCAAGUCGAACGAUUAAAGCACCUUCGGGUGUGUAUAAAGUGGCGAACGGCUGAGUAACACGUGGGCAACCUGCCCCUUUCAUUGGGAUAGCCACGGGAAACCGUGGAUAAUACCGAAUACUUCGAGACUUCCGCAUGGAAGACUCGAGAAAGCUCCGGCGGCGAGGGAUGGGCCCGCGGCCUGUUAGCUUGUUGGUGGGGUAACGGCCUACCAAGGCAAUGAUGGGUAGCUGGGUUGAGAGAGCGACCAGCCAGAUUGGGACUGAGACACGGCCCAGACUCCUACGGGAGGCAGCAGUGGGGAAUCUUGCACAAUGGGCGAAAGCCUGAUGCAGCGACGCCGCGUGCGGGAUGAAGGCCUUCGGGUUGUAAACCGCUUUCAGCAGGGACGAGGCGAAAGUGACGGUACCUGCAGAAGAAGCCCCGGCUAACUACGUG